This is a long non-coding RNA of Portunus trituberculatus (swimming crab), 727 nucleotides long. RefSeq lists it as uncharacterized. The transcript is spliced from 3 exons. The record is from RefSeq and is a predicted model, not a curated record. Lineage: Eukaryota; Metazoa; Arthropoda; Malacostraca; Decapoda; Portunidae.
UGCCUCUCCUCUGCCCCCCGAGUCCCUGUCGCCUCUUAACCUUUAGUUUCACUCGUCGGCUGCGUGGAGGCAGUCUCGUAUCUGCACCUUAUCUUGUCACCUGGAAGAAAAAAAAAAUGCAAGCAUCAAAGGAAGGAUGUGACGACCAUUUCAGGCCAAGGGGACGAGGACCAUUCACAUGGAGACUCUAGCACUGUCCUCUCUCGAUGUGAUGGCCGUGAUAUAUCGAGGCAGCAGUGGCGUCUCGUGUCUUAUCUCAAGCUUGCUGGAGGCGGGGCGUGAGUUGCUGCGCCCUAUCAUCUGUUUAUGGACAAGGUACAUGACCCCCCUCCCCUCAUACCCACACAUCUCUCCCGUGACUCAUCUAAGUAUACCGAGAUCUUUAGAUACGUAUGUAUUAGAAAAAAGGGUGAUAUUUUUAGCAUUAUAGGUGAUAAAAGCUUUUGUAUAUAAUAGAUAAACAGUAAUUACCAACAUGUGCUACUGCUACUGCUAUCAUUAUCACUUCCAUCAGUGUCAACAACAAAAACAGCAACAGACGACUAGAAAGGCAGAUGAUUUCCCCGUUUUCUCUCGUGUUGCCGGUUGGUGAUGCGCAAGGCAGUGCUGGAACCCUCAUUGAGUCUUGGCAGAGUCGGUUUUUGCUAUGGGCAAUGUGGGCGACCGCCCAGGGCGCAAUCUAUUUGGGGCGCACGAGCGCCCUCAAUAAAGAAAUAAAAAAAAAGUG